Molecule: ribosomal RNA, 635 nt
Filed under: uncultured Leuconostoc sp.
Lineage: Bacteria; Bacillati; Bacillota; Bacilli; Lactobacillales; Lactobacillaceae
Description: bacterial SSU rRNA
Rfam family: Bacterial small subunit ribosomal RNA
Source: RNAcentral
ACGCUCCCGGCGUGCCUAAUACAUGCAAGUCGAACGCACAGCGAAAGGUGCUUGCACCUUUCAAGUGAGUGGCGAACGGGUGAGUAACACGUGGAUAACCUACCUCAAGGUUGGGGAUAACAUUUGGAAACAGAUGCUAAUACCGAAUGAGACUUCUUGUUGCAUGACAGGAAGUUAAAAGGCGCUACGGCGUCGCCUAGAGAUGGAUCCGCGGUGCAUUAGUUAGUUGGUGGGGUAAAGGCCUACCAAGACAAUGAUGCAUAGCCGAGUUGAGAGACUGAUCGGCCACAUUGGGACUGAGACACGGCCCAAACUCCUACGGGAGGCUGCAGUAGGGAAUCUUCCACAAUGGGCGAAAGCCUGAUGGAGCAACGCCGCGUGUGUGAUGAAGGCUUUCGGGUCGUAAAGCACUGUUGUAUGGGAAGAACAGCUAGAGUAGGGAAUGACUUUAGUUUGACGGUACCAUACCAGAAAGGGACGGCUAAAUACGUGCCAGCAGCCGCGGUAAUACGUAUGUCCCAAGCGUUAUCCGGAUUUAUUGGGCGUAAAGCGAGCGCAGACGGUUGAUUAAGUCUGAUGUGAAAGCCCGGAGCUCAACUUCGGAAAGGCAUUGGAAACUGGUCAACUUGAGUGCA